This 90-nucleotide ribosomal RNA is filed under the name uncultured bacterium. RNAcentral's name for it is "partial 16S ribosomal RNA". The record is from RNAcentral.
CCCGUCACAUCACGAAAGUGGAUUGUACUAGAAGUCUGCGCGCUGACCGCAAGGGGGCAGCGGCCCAAGGUAUGAUUCAUGAUUGGGGUG